UGCUUACAUGCUCACCACAUACUAUGUUCUUAUGCUGACUGUAUAUAGAGAGGAGGCAGAGUAAACUGACCACCUAUACAGCUAAGCCCAAGCCAUUGUGUCUGGUCUGUAUUGUGAAUGAGGAUACAUGG
Molecule: small nucleolar RNA, 131 nt
Organism: Psammomys obesus (fat sand rat)
Lineage: Eukaryota; Metazoa; Chordata; Mammalia; Rodentia; Muridae
Product: small nucleolar RNA SNORA51
Exons: 1
Source: RefSeq, a predicted model, not a curated record